Molecule: ribosomal RNA, 248 nt
Filed under: uncultured bacterium
Lineage: Bacteria
Description: partial small subunit ribosomal RNA
Rfam family: Bacterial small subunit ribosomal RNA
Source: RNAcentral
AGAAUCAACGCUGGCGGCGUGCCUAACACAUGCAAGUCGAACGAGAAAGGGGGAGCAAUCCCUGAGUAAAGUGGCGCACGGGUGAGUAACACGUGACUAACCUACCCUGGAGUGGGGGAUAACUGAGGGAAACCUUAGCUAAUACCGCAUAAUACCCACGGGUCAAAGGAGCAAUUCGCUUUGGGAGGGGGUCGCGGCCGAUUAGUUAGUUGGCGGGGUAAUGGCCCACAAGACGAUGAUCGGUAUCC